CCAUCCAGCCCAGACUCCUGAUUUAGGGCCCCAUACUUGACCCAGGCCACAAUCAGUGUCUGAACAUGCCCCCCUGACAGCAAAUGGAUAGCUGGAGAUUUAAGCAUAGAAGCAAGCAAUGGUAUGGAACAAACAGGAAAAAUGGAAAUGAGGAUGUUGUCCGGAUUCAAGGGCCUGUAACACUAUCUCUGCGGCUUAGUGGGUGCACUUCUGCAUGCCGACCACCAGAGGGCGGGCUUUCCUUUCUUUCCAACAUACCGCACCUGAACCAGAGCCUUCAGAAAUCCGGAAAAUCCACUUCGCCAAAAAGCUUCUUUGAUGACACUCCUUCAUCCAUUAAUCUGUUUACGCCACAAUAUGAAGCACACAACAUUAUCCCAGUCUUCAUACAGGAGAAGAUACCUGGACACUCUCCCGUCUGAAGUCUGUUCACUAAGUCAAGAGGAAUCCAGGGACACAGAGUGUCGGGGAGAAGGCCACAUGCAGAUGGAGGCAGAGAGUGGGGUUGAUGCAGCCACAAGCCAACAGAUGCUGACAGCCACCAGAAGCUGGAAGAGACAAGCAAGCUGGAAGAGAACCUCCCCGGGAGCCUCUGGAGGGAGCAUGACCUUGUCAUCCCCUGACUUCAGACUUCUGGCCCCCAGACCUGCGAAAGAAUAAAUAUGUGUUGUUGUAAGCCACCAAGUUCAUGGUAAUUUGCAUGGCAGCCACAGGAAACCGAUACAGUAGGUCUCCUGGAAUCCUUUCUGCAACACCAUUCAG
Long non-coding RNA from Ailuropoda melanoleuca (giant panda), 762 nucleotides. RefSeq lists it as uncharacterized. The transcript has 3 exons. The record is from RefSeq and is a predicted model, not a curated record. Lineage: Eukaryota; Metazoa; Chordata; Mammalia; Carnivora; Ursidae.